RNAcentral lists this long non-coding RNA (702 nucleotides) under Mus spicilegus (steppe mouse). Its description in RNAcentral is "lncRNA (ENSMSIG00000000816.1)". Lineage: Eukaryota; Metazoa; Chordata; Mammalia; Rodentia; Muridae. The record is from RNAcentral.
CUGGAUGUUGUGGAAGAGCUGAGAACAGAGCAGGGCCUCCGGGUGGGCUCUGGCCCGGGAAAAGGGCAGGGAGGAGAACAAUCUGGCUGGAUCCCUUGGGGAGGAGAGUCCUUAGCCUGAUCAGGUGGCUUGGCUUGGGUUGUCUGGCAGCUGAGGCAGGAGAGCAGAGAGGCCUCCCAGCAGAAUAUUAGGCAAGCAGCUCGUUAGAGGAAGACCUUUUCCAUUGCUCCAGCACAGUGGAACCUGAUGAGAAGUAGCACUCCUUCCCUGUAUCAGGUAGAAGAAAGCAUAUAUCCAUUGAUCAUAAAAGCCCAGUCAGGCCAACAGCAUUGGUGUGAUGGAAUCUGCAUUGAAGUGUGGCAUGCAGUUUCUGGCCAAGGAUUCUCCAGUCAGCAGAAUAGUGCUUCAAUGGGGAAAUCUAAUGUCAAGCCCUCUAAUGAGAAUGUAGAUGUCAGCACAAAAUCUGCCAUACAUCUUUAUCCUGUGUCAUCGCAUUCUAAACUGAUGAUAAACGUCUGGCCUGAGAAUUCAGUAUUGUACUGUAUUAGUGCAAUUUAUAUCUUAUGUGGAAGCUGAUGAUGUGUUGAGAUCGCAUUGUGCCCUUGUCUGGAUUCUCACUCAGCACCCAAAUGGAUAGUGCUGCCCUGGUGAUUACACAGGCACUUUUUUUUAUGAAAUAAAGUGGUUCUCGUGUUGUGGUCA